RNAcentral lists this ribosomal RNA (488 nucleotides) under uncultured bacterium. RNAcentral describes it as "partial 16S ribosomal RNA". It matches the Rfam family "Bacterial small subunit ribosomal RNA", at positions 30 to 523 of the family's 1533-position model. The record is from RNAcentral.
AUUGAACGUUGGCGGCAGGCCUAACACAUGCAAGUCGAGCGGGGUUUUCGGACCUAGCGGCGGACGGGUGAGUAAUGCGUAGGAAGCUGCCCGAUAGAGGGGGAUACCAGUUGGAAACGACUGUUAAUACCGCAUAAUGUCUACGGACCAAAGUGUGGGACCUUCGGGCCACAUGCUAUCGGAUGCGCCUACGUGGGAUUAGCUAGUUGGUGAGGUAAUGGCUCACCAAGGCGACGAUCUCUAGCUGGUUUGAGAGGAUGAUCAGCCACACUGGAACUGAGACACGGUCCAGACUCCUACGUGAGGCAGGAGUGGGGAAUAUUGGACAAUGGGCGCAAGCCUGAUCCAGCCAUGCCGCGUGUGUGAAGAAGGCCUUCGGGUUGUAAAGCACUUUCAGCGAGGAGGAAGGGUGGUGUGUUAAUAGCACAUCAUUUUGACGUUACUCGCAGAAGAAGCACCGGCUAACUCUGUGCCAGCCGCCGCCGUAA